Oxyura jamaicensis (ruddy duck) is the source of this 1507-nucleotide long non-coding RNA. RefSeq lists it as uncharacterized. The transcript is spliced from 2 exons. Lineage: Eukaryota; Metazoa; Chordata; Aves; Anseriformes; Anatidae. The record is from RefSeq and is a predicted model, not a curated record.
AGGGCACUUAUUACAAAGAAGUCUUUACGUAAGUGCUGGAGAGGUUUGCCGAAUAGCCAGAUGUUGUUGCAGAGACAAUUCUCCUCCCCCUCUCCCCGCUUCUUUCCGACUUUAACAGUUCGAUUAAUUUUGCACAUAAAUCGGGGCUGAUAAAGUUGCAAACUCCACCACAUCUGGACACUGUUGAAGCCAGAUCAUUCGACGAUGCACGUUAGUCGUCUUUAAUCUCCCUUGAGAAAGUAAAAACUUCCACCAAGUCGUGCUGACCUACGCAUAUACUUCUGCGCUGUAAACACUGACAUCUGGGAGCCGCUCUCGGCGAGCACGCAGCGAUCUCCACCAAGCCAAGCGCUCACCCUUCGCUGUACAACAAGCCCGCAGCUGAUGCCAUCGGAGCGGGGCUACGACCAGCUCACUACGAAAUUCCCCUCUAUUUCCAACCCUCUGACUAACUGCCAUCAGGGGACAAAUCAAAGAAGGACAGCAGAAGCAAGGCAAGCAGACCCGGUCUCCUCCAGCAACCCAUUUUCUGGAUCCCACCAGCGACCAGGAGCCCGGCUUCACGGUGUUGAUCCGUUCAUCCUCCCUUGCUCUCCUGCCUCACUGCUGUCAACUCGGCAGCCCCGAAUUUGCGAGGCUGCCGGCCGGGCUGGCUGGGAAGGCGGACCCAGGCACAGCAAGCCCAGCUGUGCGUGGGGUCCGCCCAGGAACUGCAGCUCAUGAAGAAACUCAGCCCCGCUCUCCUCAUGAAAUAUAUACAGAUAUGGGAGGGGGGGAGCUGGGGGAAGAGCUCCGGCUACGGGAAAAGGGUUUGAUUUUUCCAACGAUGGCACUGAGCUGCUCCGAGCAGCCCAGGGAGCUUCGGAGGGGACCUAAUGUCUACUGCGCGCAUCUAAUCAGAAUGGUGUGGGCACAGCUGCAUGCCUCAUUCAUCUGAAUAAAACACGGAGGGGAACGCUUCUGUAUGCUGAGCUGUCAUUAAUUUGCUGAUUUUUUCCCCUUUUAGAAAUAAACUCUGUCUUUUAAGUAAGGUUCAACGGGCUCUGCUUUUCAUAACUGGAAGGUUUAGGGCAACUUCUUCAGAAAGACCACAUCACUAUGAGCUUAGCCUAAAGUAGGUGCUUUCAACCCAUUAAAGCAGCAGGAUUUAAACAUAUCCUUAUAUGUUUUCCUGAAUCAGGGCCUAAAAUAAUAACUUGGAGCCUUUAAAUAGCUGCUUUCUCCCCAAGAUCUCAAACUGCUGUACAAAAACUUGUGAGAAAUAUUAUCCCCACUUACAAAAGGGAAACUGUGAAACAUGGCAGAAAUCUGACUGGCCUUGGUUGUUAACACAAUCAAUCAGUGGGAAAAGUAGGAGUAAAGUCCUCAAACUCUUGCCCUAUGAUCUAUGCCCAUCCUUCAGAUCAUGUUAAAAUAACGAUCAAUGUAAUCAAGCGGAGCAGAGAGAAAGACGAUAUUAUUAAGAUUUUUUGCAGCCGAAAGCCUGCCCUAGGGUAAGGCUAAUUUU